Molecule: ribosomal RNA, 494 nt
Filed under: uncultured bacterium
Lineage: Bacteria
Description: partial 16S ribosomal RNA
Rfam family: Bacterial small subunit ribosomal RNA
Source: RNAcentral
GACGAACGCUGGCGGCGUGCUUAACACAUGCAAGUCGAACGGAAAGGCCUGCUUUCCCUUGUGGAUUGCGGGUACUCGAGUGGCGAACGGGUGAGUAACACGUGAGUGAUCUGCCCCCAACUUGGGUAUAAGCCUGGGAAACUGGGUCUAAUUCCCGAUAGGACUGCAGGGUGGUGCCUGUGGUGGAAAACUAUUUUCUAGUGGUUGGGGAUGAGCUCGCGGCCUAUCAGCUUGUUGGUGGGGUAAUGGCCUACCAAGGCGGCGACGGGUAGCCGGCCUGGGAGGGUGGACGGCGACAUUGGGACUGAGAUACGGCCCAGACUCCUGCGGGAGGCAGCAGUGGGGAAUAUUGCACAAUGGGCGGAAGCCUGAUGCAGCGACGCCGCGUGGGGGAUGACGGCCUUCGGGUUGUAAACUCCUUUCGACCGCGAGGAAGCCACCUGGUUGGAAGGGUGGUGACGGUAGUGGUAGAAGAAGCACCGGCUAACUACGUG